CACAGAAAUGAGCUCAUCCCCGGGUCGAAGCCGCCCGUCGCGCUCAGCGGGAGUGUUCUCUAUUAUAGCGCCAAUGACAAUCUGUUCAAAGACAAUCAAUAUUAGCAGCAUAGAUUAAGAUUGCAUGCUGUUGCACAACGUGGACAAGUUAGCAAGGCGUUACUUCAGUAUGGGAGGCACCGAGCAGUUAGAGAGUCAGGUGGCUAAUCGCACAGGAACUAGGAAAAGAGGGAAAAUGGCCACACUCCAUGUGGCUCUGGCAAUACUGCAAGAAUCUGCACUUCAAACUUCAACACCAUGAAAUUCUCACUCAGCCCCCUUUCUCAGCUGCUUUAUAAUUCCAUUUUGAUUUAUUCUCUCACACCAAGGGCGUGCAAUUGUGUUCUCUCUUCACUUUAAAAGAAAGGUAAAAUGCUGAACAUGGCAGAGCAUUACAUGUGGUAUAGAGCAGCUCAUUGCAAAGACUCAACAUGUGGCAGGCAUCGUGGAACACCACAAGCCCUGAAAGCUCUGUCUAAAUACAAAGAGCCAACAGUCAAAUCAGUCAGAUUUAAAUGUUUGUUUAAAAGAGACUCAGCCACUGUGAGAAAGCAAUGGAAGUUUUGCAGCAGAAAGGAAAACAGAUCACAGGCAAUAAUAUGACUUCAUAUAUUCUCUUCUUGUUGCUGCUUUCCUUCACCAACAUAACAUCAAACUAGAUUUAUAUGCAGUAAAACAAUAAAAAUGCGGUUUCCCAGAGUGUGUGAGUACAGUCGGUAUAUUCGGCCAAACAGCAUCACACCAUCCAGUUCAUCCUGUUUGCCAGCUAGAUGACACUCUCCAGUAAUUUCUGUCCAAAGCACAUUGCAGUAAAAUAACUGCAUUUAUUUUGAAGAUGAGUGGCCUCAGUGGGAAUGAAACUGCUUUCCCCAUAACAGUGCUGGUGCCAUCUGUGCCCAGAGAGCUGUGCUACACCUGACAGUGAGUUUAACGCUACCUCUCAUUCCAACUCUCCACUUCAUUUUACAUUUGAUGCGCUGUAUCUUAAAAUUCCCUCCAUGUCGAAUCCCCCCUCCCAUGCCGCUCUGUUUGUUUCACUGGAAAACAUUGAUGACAUGUUGGUGAUAAAGCUGCACUUGGAAACCACUGAGAACACAUGGUGCGAUGCACAAAACACUUAGAGUGACAUCUGCUGACACUUCUUCCUGAUCUGUAAUAUUGAUGUGUAUUCACUGGAUGAGUCAGCACAUAUGAAAUAUGCUAAACAUCAUAUUGUUCAUUGCAUACUUAUGGUUAUAUCAUUUCUAAUAAUCUGUCCUGCAGCCAUUUGUACCUGCAUUGAUCAAAUUUCCCUAA
Molecule: long non-coding RNA, 1335 nt
Organism: Archocentrus centrarchus (flier cichlid)
Lineage: Eukaryota; Metazoa; Chordata; Actinopteri; Cichliformes; Cichlidae
Exons: 3
Source: RefSeq, a predicted model, not a curated record